GGGCCUGUGGUAUAGUGGCAGCACGCCUCGUUUGCAACGAGGAGAUGGGAGUUCGAUUCUCCCCAGGUCCA
Molecule: non-coding RNA, 71 nt
Organism: Candidatus Staskawiczbacteria bacterium
Lineage: Bacteria; Candidatus Staskawicziibacteriota
Source: Rfam